RNAcentral lists this non-coding RNA (30 nucleotides) under Rattus norvegicus (Norway rat). Lineage: Eukaryota; Metazoa; Chordata; Mammalia; Rodentia; Muridae. The record is from RNAcentral.
UAGAUCAGCUCGUUUGUGUAGAAGGCUGGU